GACGAACGCUGGCGGCGUGCUUAACACAUGCAAGUCGAACGAAAAGACGGAAAGAGCUUGCUCUUUUCAGAAUUGAGUGGCAAACGGGUGAGUAACACGUAAACAACCUGCCUUCAGGAUGGGGACAACAGACGGAAACGACUGCUAAUACCGAAUAAGUUCCAAGGGCCGCAUGGCCCAUGGAAGAAAAGGUGGCCUCUACCUGUAAGCUAUCGCCUGAAGAGGGGUUUGCGUCUGAUUAGCUGGUUGGAGGGGUAACGGCCCACCAAGGCGACGAUCAGUAGCCGGUCUGAGAGGAUGAACGGCCACACUGGAACUGAGACACGGUCCAGACUCCUACGGGAGGCAGCAGUGGGAAUCUUCCGCAAUGGGCGAAAGCUGACGGAGCAACGCCGCGUGAGUGAUGACGGCCUUCGGGUUGUAAAACUCUGUGAU
Molecule: ribosomal RNA, 435 nt
Filed under: Dialister invisus
Lineage: Bacteria; Bacillati; Bacillota; Negativicutes; Veillonellales; Veillonellaceae
Description: bacterial SSU rRNA
Rfam family: Bacterial small subunit ribosomal RNA
Source: RNAcentral